GUAGUGAACUGCGGAAGGAUCAUUA
RNAcentral lists this ribosomal RNA (25 nucleotides) under Phytopythium sp. RNAcentral describes it as "partial 18S ribosomal RNA". Lineage: Eukaryota; Oomycota; Peronosporomycetes; Pythiales; Pythiaceae. The record is from RNAcentral.